Molecule: ribosomal RNA, 913 nt
Filed under: uncultured bacterium
Lineage: Bacteria
Description: bacterial SSU rRNA
Rfam family: Bacterial small subunit ribosomal RNA
Source: RNAcentral
UAGUUGGUGGGGUAAUGGCCUACCAAGGCGACGAUCAGUAGCGGGUCUGAGAGGAUGAUCCGCCAUACUGGAACUGAGACACGGUCCAGACUCCUACGGGAGGCAGCAGUGGGGAAUUUUGGACAAUGGGCGAAAGCCUGAUCCAGCCAUUCCGCGUGAGUGAAGAAGGCCUUCGGGUUGUAAAGCUCUUUCAUCUGGAACGAAACGGUACGCUCUAACAUAGCGUGCUAAUGACGGUACCAGCAGAAGAAGCACCGGCUAACUACGUGCCAGCAGCCGCGGUAAUACGUAGGGUGCGAGCGUUAAUCGGAAUUACUGGGCGUAAAGCGUGCGCAGGCGGAUUGUUAAGCAAGAUGUGAAAUCCCCGGGCUUAACCUGGGAAUGGCAUUUUGAACUGGCAGUCUAGAGUGCGUCAGAGGGGGGUGGAAUUCCACGUGUAGCAGUGAAAUGCGUAGAUAUGUGGAGGAACACCAAUGGCGAAGGCAGCCCCCUGGGAUGACACUGACGCUCAUGUACGAAAGCGUGGGUAGCAAACAGGAUUAGAUACCCUGGUAGUCCACGCCCUAAACGAUGUCAACUGGUUGUUGGGGGAGUGAAAUCCCUUAGUAACGAAGCUAACGCGUGAAGUUGACCGCCUGGGGAGUACGGUCGCAAGAUUAAAACUCAAAGGAAUUGACGGGGACCCGCACAAGCGGUGGAUGAUGUGGAUUAAUUCGAUGCAACGCGAAAAACCUUACCUACCCUUGACAUGUCCAGAAUCCUGCAGAGAUGCGGGAGUGCCCGAAAGGGAAUUGGAACACAGGUGCUGCAUGGCUGUCGUCAGCUCGUGUCGUGAGAUGUUGGGUUAAGUCCCGCAACGAGCGCAACCCUUAUCAUUAGUUGCUACGCAAGGGCACUCUAAUGAGACUGCCGG